Molecule: ribosomal RNA, 325 nt
Filed under: Pseudo-nitzschia fraudulenta
Lineage: Eukaryota; Bacillariophyta; Bacillariophyceae; Bacillariales; Bacillariaceae
Description: LSU rRNA
Rfam family: Eukaryotic large subunit ribosomal RNA
Source: RNAcentral
AGAGGGUGAAACUCCCGUCCGCCUGGUAGAAUGAGUCUUUGUCAACGAGUCGAGUUGUUUGGGAUUGCAGCUCUAAUUUGGUGGUAAAUUCCAUCUAAAGCUAAAUUUUGGUGGGAGACCGAUAGCGUACAAGUACCGUGAGGGAAAGAUGCAAAGAACUUUGAAAAGAGAGUUAAAGAGUACCUGGAAUUGCUGAAACGGAAGCGAAGGAAACCAGUGUUUGUUGGUUCAUAUUUCCUUGGCCACUUGUGGCUUGGGCGCUGUGAGCUUGCGUGGGUUUGGGUUGGUUGAUCCCUUUGGAAGAGCGCAGUCAGAGUUGAUGUCU